UGUUUAACAGUGCCAUCCGAGGAAAGAUUGUGUUAAACAGAAGAUGUUCGAAAAGGAAAAAGUCCAUUCAGGAAAAACAAGAGCCCUAUGAGGGAACCUAUUGAUAAUCUCACUAUUGAGGAAAGGGAUGCGAGGGCAGUUUUGUGUGUGCAAUUGGCAGCAAGAAGUCCACCAAGAGAUUUGGAAGAAUUGUUCUCUACAGUAGGAAAUGUUCGAGAUGUGAGGAUGAUUUCUGAUAGAAAUUCAAGACAAUCCAAAGGAAUUUCCUAUGUGGAAUGUGUUGAUGUCAGUUCAGUGCCUCUAGCAAUUGGAUUAAAUGGCCAAUGAGUUUUAGGAGUGCCAAUUAUAGUCCAGGCAUUACAGGCAGAAAAAGACAGAGCUGCUGCAAUGGUAAACAGUUUACAAAAAGGACCUAUGAGGCUGUACUACAUUUUAACAUAACUGAAGAGAUGCUUUGGGGGGGAAUCUUUGAACCUUUUGGAAGGAUUGAAAGUAUUCAGUUCCUAAUGAAUAAUGAAACCAGUUGAUCUAAGGGGUAUGGAUUUGUUGCAUUUUCUGACUAAGAAUGUGCCCAAAAGGCUUCGGAACAGCUUAAUGGUUUGAGUUAGCUGAGAGACCACUGAAAGUUGGUCAUGUUACUCAAUGAACUGAUGCUUCUAGUGCUAGUUCAUUUUGGGGACACUGAUGAACUACAAAGGACUGGAGUUGACUUGGGAACAACUGAACAUCUUCAGUUACUGGCAAGACUUGCUGAGGUUAACGGUUUGCAGAAUCCAUUUGCGGCACAAGUUUUACAAAUGAGUGACUCUUUGGCGUUUGGUGCUGUCAGUGAAAGAAAGAUGAAAUUUCAAGACCUGUAAGUCAUAUAAAGUACUCAGAAAUUGCUGGUUGUUUGUGAGCCUAGAGGCUACCUGGGGCUGAGAAAAGAGAAAAACAAACCUGGGUAUGCCUCGUAGUUAAAACAUUCCUGGGUACAGCUUAACAUUAAAGAUAAAGAGGAAUGUGAAGACACAACAGGGCUAUCUAAACUGAGUCAACAACUCACAGAACUCUGACACCCUGCACAUACAUAUAAUUUUUCUGUUAAUGUUUGAAUAAGCCAAUAGUGUGUUGCUAUGCUGAAUUCCACACCCCUAAGCCCCUCACCCCAUAAAACCCCCUAACUUUCGAGCCUCGUGGCCGGCAUCCGUUAUCUCCUGUGUGGGAUGCAUGUCGGUCCGGAGCUCCAUAAUUAAACGUCCUCAUGUAAUUACAGCAAGUUGGGUCCUCGUGUUUCUUUUGGUGCUCUCACACUCCUGAGACUAGAGUAGGGGUUCCCGAAAGGGGGUCUUACAUCAGAUUUGCAACAGGACUUUCCCAGCAGAGCAAAGCCUCAGCUAUUGCUACAUCUCUGUCUUUUCAACCUCUUGCAAUAGUGUUUCCAACUUUCUAACAUGUUUAAUCCUCUAACAGAAGAAGAAGUUUGAUGGGAUACAGAGGUUAAUGUCAUUGGAGAAUGUAAUAAACAAGGAGGAGUCAUUCAUAUUUAUGUUGAAAAUAAUUCAGUUCAGGGCAAUGUGGUUUUUUGUUUGUUUGAUUUGUUUUGUUUUGUUUUGGACAGGGUUUCUUUGUGUAGCCCUCGCUAUCCUCGCUAACUCACCUCAAACUCAGAAAUCCACCUGCCUCUGCCUCCCAAGUGAUGGGAUUAAAAGUGUGUACCAACACUGCCCUGCUCAGGGCAAUGUUUAUGUGAAGUGCCUAUCUAUUGCUGUGGCUAUUACUCCUGUCAAUGAAUUGCAUGGCAAGGGGCUUGCUGGUAAAAUGAUAACAGCAGCAUAUGUACCUCUUCCAACUUACCACAACCUCUUUCCUGAUUCUAUAUCAGCAUCACAAUACUGGUUCCAAG
This 1885-nucleotide long non-coding RNA is filed under the name Mus musculus (house mouse). Its description in RNAcentral is "long non-coding RNA chr6:131130795-131132680". The record is from RNAcentral. Lineage: Eukaryota; Metazoa; Chordata; Mammalia; Rodentia; Muridae.